Molecule: ribosomal RNA, 460 nt
Filed under: uncultured bacterium
Lineage: Bacteria
Description: partial 16S ribosomal RNA
Rfam family: Bacterial small subunit ribosomal RNA
Source: RNAcentral
CCUACGGGAGGCAGCAGUGAGGAAUAUUGGUCAAUGGACGAGAGUCUGAACCAGCCAAGUAGCGUGAAGGAUGACUGCCCUAUGGGUUGUAAACUUCUUUUAUAUGGGAAUAAAAUGUUCCACGUGUGGGCUUUUGUAUGUACCCUAUGAAUAAGGAUCGGCUAACUCCGUGCCAGCAGCCGCGGUAAUACGGAGGAUCCGAGCGUUAUCCGGAUUUAUUGGGUUUAAAGGGAGCGUAGGUGGAUUGUUAAGUCAGUUGUGAAAGUUUGCGGCUCAACCGUAAAAUUGCAGUUGAAACUGGCAGUCUUGAGUACAGGAGAGGUGGGCGGAAUGCGUGGUGUAGCGGUGAAAUGCUUAGAUAUCACGAAGAACUCCGAUUGCGAAGGCAGCUCACUGGACUGCAACUGACACUGAGGCUCGAAAGUGUGGGUAUCAAACAGGAUUAGAUACCCCAGUAGUC